CUAGCGAGACUGCCGGUAAUAAACCGGAGGAAGGUGGGGAUGACGUCAAAGUCAUCAUGCCCUUAUGACCUGGGCUACACACGUGCUACAAUGGUUGGUACAACGAGUUGCGAGUCGGUGACGGCGAGCUAAUCUCUUAAAGCCAAUCUCAGUUCGGAUUGUAGGCUGCAACUCGCCUACAUGAAGUCGGAAUCGCUAGUAAUCGCGGAUCAGCACGCCGCGGUCGAAUACGUUCCCGGGCCUU
RNAcentral lists this ribosomal RNA (244 nucleotides) under uncultured Streptococcus sp. Its description in RNAcentral is "partial 16S ribosomal RNA". It matches the Rfam family "Bacterial small subunit ribosomal RNA", at positions 1140 to 1382 of the family's 1533-position model. The record is from RNAcentral. Lineage: Bacteria; Bacillati; Bacillota; Bacilli; Lactobacillales; Streptococcaceae.